This 433-nucleotide unclassified non-coding RNA is filed under the name soil metagenome. RNAcentral's name for it is "partial contains 5.8S ribosomal RNA, internal transcribed spacer 2, and large subunit ribosomal RNA". The stretch from base 1 to 120 matches the Rfam family "5.8S ribosomal RNA", at positions 35 to 154 of the family's 154-position model. The record is from RNAcentral.
GAUGAAGAACGCAGCGAAAUGCGAUACGUAAUGUGAAUUGCAGAAUUCAGUGAAUCAUCGAAUCUUUGAACGCAUAUUGCGCUCUCUGGUAUUCCGGAGAGCAUGCUUGUUUGAGUAUCAGUAAACACCUCAACUCCCCUUUCUUUUUUUGAAAUGGGGGCUGGACUUGAUUGAUCCCACCGCUUUUCUCACCGAAAAGUGGCGGGUUACUUGAAAUGCAGGUGCAGCUGGACUUUUCUCUGAGCUAAAAGCAUAUCUAUUUAGUCUGCCUAAAAAACAGAUUAUUACCUUUGCUGCAGCUAACAUAAAGGAGAUUAGUUCUUGUGCUGACUGAUGCAGGAUUCACAGAGACAGCUUCGGCUGGCCUUUGUAAACUCGAUCUCAAAUCAAGUAAGACUACCCGCUGAACUUAAGCAUAUCAAUAAGCGGAGGA